This 253-nucleotide ribosomal RNA is filed under the name uncultured bacterium. Its description in RNAcentral is "partial 16S ribosomal RNA". It matches the Rfam family "Bacterial small subunit ribosomal RNA", at positions 524 to 776 of the family's 1533-position model. The record is from RNAcentral.
UACGUAGGGGGCUAGCGUUGUCCGGAAUCAUUGGGCGUAAAGCGCGUGUAGGCGGUCCGGUAAGUCCGCUGUGAAAGUCGGGGGCUCAACCCUCGGAUGCCGGUGGAUACUGUCGGGCUAGAGUGCGGGAGAGGCGAGUGGAAUUCCUGGUGUAGCGGUGAAAUGCGUAGAGAUCGGGAGGAACACCAGUGGCGAAGGCGGCUCGCUGGGCCGGUCCUGACACUGAGACGCGACAGCAUGGGGAGCAAACGGG